GGGUUGUGAGGUUAAGCGACUAAGCGUACACGGUGGAUGCCCUGGCAGUCAGAGGCGAUGAAGGACGUGCUAAUCUGCGAAAAGCGUCGGUAAGGUGAUAUGAACCGUUAUAACCGGCGAUGUCCGAAUGGGGAAACCCAGUGCAAUUCGUUGCACUAUCGUUAACUGAAUACAUAGGUUAACGAGGCGAACCGGGGGGAACUGAAACAUCUAAGUACCCCGAGGAAAAGAAAUCAACCGAGAUUCCCCCAGUAGCGGCGAGCGAACGGGGAGCAGCCCAGAGUCUGAAUCAGCUUGUGUGUUAGUGGAACGGUCUGGAAAGUCCGACGGUACAGGGUGAUAGUCCCGUACACCAAAAUGCACAGGCUGUGAACUCGAAGAGUAGGGCGGGACACGUGGUAUCCUGUCUGAAUAUGGGGGGACCAUCCUCCAAGGCUAAAUACUCCUGACUGACCGAUAGUGAACCAGUACCGUGAGGGAAAGGCGAAAAGAACCCCGGCGAGGGGAGUGAAAAAGAACCUGAAACCGUGUACGUACAAGCAGUGGGAGCACCUUCGGGUGUGACUGCGUACCUUUUGUAUAAUGGGUCAGCGACUUAUAUUCUGUAGCAAGGUUAACCGUAUAGGGGAGCCGCAGGGAAACCGAGUCUUAACUGGGCGUUAAGUUGCAGGGUAUAGACCCGAAACCCGGUGAUCUAGCCAUGGGCAGGUUGAAGGUUGGGUAACACUAACUGGAGGACCGAACCGACUAAUGUUGAAAAAUUAGCGGAUGACUUGUGGCUGGGGGUGAAAGGCCAAUCAAACCGGGAGAUAGCUGGUUCUCCCCGAAAGCUAUUUAGGUAGCGCCUCGUGAAUUCAUCUUCGGGGGUAGAGCACUGUUUCGGCUAGGGGGUCAUCCCGACUUACCAACCCGAUGCAAACUACGAAUACCGAAGAAUGUUAUCACGGGAGACACACGGCGGGUGCUAACGUCCGUCGUGAAGAGGGGAAACAACCCAGACCGCCAGCUAAGGUCCCAAAGUCAUGGUUAAGUGGGAAACGAUGUGGGAAGGCACAGACAGCCAGGAUGUUGGCUUAGAAGCAGCCAUCAUUUAAAGAAAGCGUAAUAGCUCACUGGUCGAGUCGGCCUGCGCGGAAGAUGUAACGGGGCUAAACCAUGCACCGAAGCUGCGGCAGCGACACUAUGUGUUGUUGGGUAGGGGAGCGUUCUGUAAGCCUGCGAAGGUGACCUGUGAGGGUUGCUGGAGGUAUCAGAAGUGCGAAUGCUGACAUAAGUAACGAUAAAGCGGGUGAAAAGCCCGCUCGCCGGAAGACCAAGGGUUCCUGUCCAACGUUAAUCGGGGCAGGGUGAGUCGACCCCCUAAGGCGAGGCCGAAAGGCGUAGUCGAUGGGAAACAGGUUAAUAUUCCUGUACUUGGUGUUACUGCGAAGGGGGGACGGAGAAGGCUAUGUUAGCCGGGCGACGGUUGUCCCGGUUUAAGCAUGUAGGCUGGUUAUCCAGGCAAAUCCGGAUAAUCAAGGCUGAGGUGUGAUGACGAGGCACUACGGUGCUGAAGUAACAAAUGCCCUGCUUCCAGGAAAAGCCUCUAAGCAUCAGGUAACAUCAAAUCGUACCCCAAACCGACACAGGUGGUCAGGUAGAGAAUACCAAGGCGCUUGAGAGAACUCGGGUGAAGGAACUAGGCAAAAUGGUGCCGUAACUUCGGGAGAAGGCACGCUGGUGUGUAGGUGAAGUCCCUGCGGAUGGAGCUGAGACCAGUCGAAGAUACCAGCUGGCUGCAACUGUUUAUUAAAAACACAGCACUGUGCAAACACGAAAGUGGACGUAUACGGUGUGACGCCUGCCCGGUGCCGGAAGGUUAAUUGAUGGGGUUAUCCGUAAGGAGAAGCUCUUGAUCGAAGCCCCGGUAAACGGCGGCCGUAACUAUAACGGUCCUAAGGUAGCGAAAUUCCUUGUCGGGUAAGUUCCGACCUGCACGAAUGGCGUAAUGAUGGCCAGGCUGUCUCCACCCGAGACUCAGUGAAAUUGAACUCGCUGUGAAGAUGCAGUGUACCCGCGGCAAGACGGAAAGACCCCGUGAACCUUUACUAUAGCUUGACACUGAACAUUGAGCCUUGAUGUGUAGGAUAGGUGGGAGGCUUUGAAGCGUGGACGCCAGUCUGCGUGGAGCCAACCUUGAAAUACCACCCUUUAAUGUUUGAUGUUCUAACGUUGGCCCCUUACCGGGGUUGCGGACAGUGUCUGGUGGGUAGUUUGACUGGGGCGGUCUCCUCCCAAAGCGUAACGGAGGAGCACGAAGGUUAGCUAAUCCUGGUCGGACAUCAGGAGGUUAGUGCAAUGGCAUAAGCUAGCUUGACUGCGAGCGUGACGGCGCGAGCAGGUGCGAAAGCAGGUCAUAGUGAUCCGGUGGUUCUGAAUGGAAGGGCCAUCGCUCAACGGAUAAAAGGUACUCCGGGGAUAACAGGCUGAUACCGCCCAAGAGUUCAUAUCGACGGCGGUGUUUGGCACCUCGAUGUCGGCUCAUCACAUCCUGGGGCUGAAGUAGGUCCCAAGGGUAUGGCUGUUCGCCAUUUAAAGUGGUACGCGAGCUGGGUUUAGAACGUCGUGAGACAGUUCGGUCCCUAUCUGCCGUGGGCGCUGGAGAAUUGAGGGGGGCUGCUCCUAGUACGAGAGGACCGGAGUGGACGCAUCACUGGUGUUCGGGUUGUCAUGCCAAUGGCACUGCCCGGUAGCUAAAUGCGGAAGAGAUAAGUGCUGAAAGCAUCUAAGCACGAAACUUGCCCCGAGAUGAGUUCUCCCUGAGACUUUAAGUCUCCUGAAGGAACGUUGAAGACGACGACGUUGAUAGGCCGGGUGUGUAAGCGCAGCGAUGCGUUGAGCUAACCGGUACUAAUGAACCGUGAGGCUUAACCUUACAACGCCGAAG
This 2926-nucleotide ribosomal RNA is filed under the name Klebsiella pneumoniae. RNAcentral describes it as "bacterial LSU rRNA". It matches the Rfam family "Bacterial large subunit ribosomal RNA". Lineage: Bacteria; Pseudomonadati; Pseudomonadota; Gammaproteobacteria; Enterobacterales; Enterobacteriaceae. The record is from RNAcentral.